GGCGUACGGGUGAGUAACGCGUGGGUAAUCUACCUUCGAAUUGGGGAUAACGUUGCGAAAGUGACGCUAAUACCGAAUAAUAUCAUAAGGACUUUGGUUCUUUUGAUCAAAGAUGGCCUCUCCUUGGAAGCUAUUGUUUGAAGAUGAGCCCGCGUCCCAUUAGCUUGUUGGUGGGGUAAUGGCCUACCAAGGCAGCGAUGGGUAGCUGGUCUGAGAGGAUGAUCAGCCACACUGGAACUGACACACGGUCCAGACUCCUACGGGAGGCAGCAGUGAGGAAUUUUGCGCAAUGGGGGAAACCCUGACGCAGCAACGCCGCGUGAGUGAUGAAGGCUUUCGGGUCGUAAAGCUCUGUCAAGUGGGAAGAACUUUCAUGGGGUUAAUAUCCUCAUGUUUUGACGGUACCACUGAAGGAAGCACCGGCUAACUCCGUGCCAGCAGCCGCGGUAAUACGGGGGGUGCAAGCGUUAUUCGGAUUUACUGGGCGUAAAGCGCGCGUAGGCGGCCGUUUAAGUCAGAUGUGAAAGCCCGGGGCUCAACCCCGGAAGUGCAUUUGAUACUAUUCGGCUUGAGUAUGGGAGAGGGAAGUGGAAUUCCUGGUGUAGAGGUGAAAUUCGUAGAUAUCAGGAGGAACACCGGUGGCGAAGGCGACUUCCUGGACCAAUACUGACGCUGAGGCGCGAAUGCGUGGGGAGCAAACAGGAUUAGAUACCCUGGUAGUCCACGCAGUAAACGGUGAUCACUA
RNAcentral lists this ribosomal RNA (745 nucleotides) under uncultured bacterium. Its description in RNAcentral is "bacterial SSU rRNA". It matches the Rfam family "Bacterial small subunit ribosomal RNA", at positions 97 to 818 of the family's 1533-position model. The record is from RNAcentral.